CGCAGUGCUGCUGUCCCUGGUGCUGAUAUUUUCAUAGGCACACACCGUGGACCAUGGCAGAAUUUCCAGGAACGCUAGAUGUAUUUGUACUAUUUUUAUGUCUACUGAUUGAAAACUGAACAAAGGAAGCUGUUCACCAUUUGAAGAGGCCAUCACAAUGCUCAGAAGAUGAUCAAAGAAGCUACUUAAGAAUAACAUGCUGCCUUUUUAAAAAACCAAUGCCCACGCUGAACUCAGAAUGGUAAUGAGCUCAGGCAGGAGCCCAACUGAGACCUCCACGGCCAUCCCACCCAGCUGGGAUAUUUGCAUUUUAUACAAACCAUUUUAUGAUGCUAUAAAUUUCACAUUUUUAUAGUUACAGGUCUUAAUCAUCAUGAAUACCAUUUCUGCACGUAUCUUUGGUAAACGGAAUUAAAAUCUCCUCAUGAUCUGAAAA
Molecule: long non-coding RNA, 436 nt
Filed under: Equus asinus (donkey)
Lineage: Eukaryota; Metazoa; Chordata; Mammalia; Perissodactyla; Equidae
Description: lncRNA (ENSEASG00005026591.1)
Source: RNAcentral